This 272-nucleotide ribosomal RNA is filed under the name Bacillus nitratireducens. Its description in RNAcentral is "16S rRNA. Bacterial SSU". It matches the Rfam family "Bacterial small subunit ribosomal RNA", at positions 1 to 259 of the family's 1533-position model. Lineage: Bacteria; Bacillati; Bacillota; Bacilli; Caryophanales; Bacillaceae. The record is from RNAcentral.
CUUUAUUGGAGAGUUUGAUCCUGGCUCAGGAUGAACGCUGGCGGCGUGCCUAAUACAUGCAAGUCGAGCGAAUGGAUUGAGAGCUUGCUCUCAAGAAGUUAGCGGCGGACGGGUGAGUAACACGUGGGUAACCUGCCCAUAAGACUGGGAUAACUCCGGGAAACCGGGGCUAAUACCGGAUAAUAUUUUGAACUGCAUGGUUCGAAAUUGAAAGGCGGCUUCGGCUGUCACUUAUGGAUGGACCCGCGUCGCAUUAGCUAGUUGGUGAGGUA